UUGCGCUACGGAGAUGGCAUUCCUCCUGCAGCUCAUCGCAAACCGCUGGAUUAGUUACGUAGCUGACUUAUCUGAUUGAGUCGCCUAAUUAAGCCAGCUAAUGAUGCCUACGCGUUC
RNAcentral lists this non-coding RNA (117 nucleotides) under Burkholderia sp. RNAcentral's name for it is "Fluoride sequence". It matches the Rfam family "Fluoride riboswitch aptamer (crcB RNA motif)". RNAcentral also lists the same sequence under 1 other name. The record is from RNAcentral. Lineage: Bacteria; Pseudomonadati; Pseudomonadota; Betaproteobacteria; Burkholderiales; Burkholderiaceae.